AUGAUUGAAGUAAAUUAUUACAUUUAGUUUCGACCUAAAAGUUUGGAUAAUUAAUUAUC
RNAcentral lists this transfer RNA (59 nucleotides) under Geotomus sp. FS-2019. RNAcentral describes it as "tRNA-Arg". The record is from RNAcentral. Lineage: Eukaryota; Metazoa; Arthropoda; Insecta; Hemiptera; Cydnidae.